AUUCCUGGCUCAGGACGAACGCUGGCGGCGUGCCUAAUACAUGCAAGUCGAGCGAAUGGAUUAAGAGCUUGCUCUUAUGAAGUUAGCGGCGGACGGGUGAGUAACACGUGGGUAACCUGCCCAUAAGACUGGGAUAACUCCGGGAAACCGGGGCUAAUACCGGAUAACAUUUUGAACCGCAUGGUUCGAAAUUGAAAGGCGGCUUUGGCUGUCACUUAUGGAUGGACCCGCGUCGCAUUAGYUAGUUGGUGAGGUAACGGCUCACCAAGGCAACGAUGCGUAGCCGACCUGAGAGGGUGAUCGGCCACACUGGGACUGAGACACGGCCCAGACUCCUACGGGAGGCAGCAGUAGGGAAUCUUCCGCAAUGGACGAAAGUCUGACGGAGCAACGCCGCGUGAGUGAUGAAGGCUUUCGGGUCCUUUUACUGUGUUGUUAGGGAAGAACAAGUGCUAGUGAAUCCCUCCCCUCCUUACGGUACCUAACCAGAAAGCCAC
RNAcentral lists this ribosomal RNA (497 nucleotides) under Bacillus cereus. RNAcentral's name for it is "bacterial SSU rRNA". The record is from RNAcentral. Lineage: Bacteria; Bacillati; Bacillota; Bacilli; Caryophanales; Bacillaceae.